This 73-nucleotide transfer RNA is filed under the name Myotis davidii. It matches the Rfam family "tRNA". Rfam says of the family: Transfer RNA (tRNA) molecules are approximately 80 nucleotides in length. The record is from Rfam by way of RNAcentral. Lineage: Eukaryota; Metazoa; Chordata; Mammalia; Chiroptera; Vespertilionidae.
GCCUGGGUGACUCAGUUGGUUAGAGUGUUGUCCUGUACACCAAAGGUUGUGGGUUUGAUUCCCAGUCAAGGCG